CAAGGAGAGUCUCUUCUGGGGGCUGGCCAAUUUUUAACGUCCCUAAGGCUGCCACCACCCUUUUUAAUAAAGAGAGCAGGCAGGCAGCUACAACAUCCAAGUGGAAUUUAAUAACGUCGGCUUUUAUGGCUUUUAUGACCUCCUUCUACGUACGGCAAACACUACUGGUUUUCCAUUCACGACACUGGGCUGAUGACCUGCACAGUGGAUGUUUGCCGGGUUUACCUGCUUACACCUUGACCAUCUCUCAGGAACCAACACGUCUCCCUGCCCAAUAGGUGUCACAGUGGAUGCAUGACCCCAGCUCAUGGAUCAGCCCUUCUGUCUGCUGGCCAUGGUGGUCCUGUCAGAGAUGGGCACUCGUGUUAGUCCAGCCAGAGAGAAUCCUGAACUUGUGCAGGAACAACAAGGAAAGAGGGACCCUCCAUCCAACCUGGAGCCUGGAGCUGCUGAUGGCCACUGCCAGAGAGAAUCUGCCUGAGACAAGCCAGCAGGGAGCCAUGCAGGGCCAAAGGGUGGAGGAGACCAGGUCCUGAUGGCACCACUCGAACUCCUGGAUACAGCCUUACCUGAAGCCUCUGAACUCUUCAUAUACAGGAGCUAAACAAUUCCUCUUUUUCAUUCAAGCUGAUGUGCGCUGAAUAUCUAACACUUUCAAGUAAGAGUCCAGACUAAUACAUCCUCCUAAUUUCUCCCAUAUCCCACCAUAUCUAAGUUUUUCUCCCCACCCAAAAUGCCACUUCUCUGGGCCAAGGUCCUGUCACCACUUGUCUAGGUAUCACUAACAACCACCCAACUGGUCCCCUGGCCUCCAGUCGGCUUCGCAGUCCAUUCUCCAGGCCAGAGCACCCUACACAAAGUAAGACGCCAUGUGCCCUUCCCCAGAGCAGAGGCUCCCCAGCCAGGACAAAGGCUGAGCUGACAACAGGACUUUCCAGGGUCUUAUACUUGUCAGCAGGGCUGCAGGCGCCCCCAGCAGUGGGCUGCCCUUUCUUCCUGAAGGCUCCAAGCUCCCUCUCACCCGGGAGGACCAGCAGCUUCCCGGCGGGUCUAGAAGUCUCCUCUGUCUUAGACCCAGGAGCUCCCUCCAUAAUGCGCAGCUUCGGGCAUCGCACAGAUCUCAGGAGCUCAGCCUUGGCUCUCUGCUCCCUCUCUCUUCCCCCAGGCACAGAAAAAGCAACGAAGGACAGUGAGGCCGGCUGCGGAGAGCGGCCCCCUCAGCUGCAUGCCAGAUACUGUCACCAGUUCCCAGCCGCACGCUCCCUUUCAAGCCUCUUUGAUGAGCAGACAGUCAGGAGCUGGGAGCCAUUGCAACCCUAUUCCUAUCAACUAGCUUGAAAGACCCAGCCGGUCCAGAGAGCCUCAAAAAUCACAGCGCUAGUGAAUCUCUGAAAUAACGGAUAUUCCCACCUUCGCCUUCUGGAUUUCAUAGAGCCCCAAGCUUUCAUUUAAAAUCCAUUUUAUAUGAAGUUAUCUGAAAAUGAACAAUAGGAGCCUCAAAGAGACGUCUCCCCAGACGCCUGCGUGAAGGAUGCUGGAAGAGAUCCAGCCACAAAGUCAGCUUGCCUGUUAGAUCAAAUACGCAGGUCCCAGCGGGUCCCAUCUCCUCGUCCUCGACAGGAAAGGGCCUCCUCCUGACACGGAGGUGGGGACCACGUUUCUUAGCCCCUCAGGUUGCCAUUUCAUGUCCUAGGUGAGGCUUCCAGCAACAGAAUAGCUGGAACAGACUUCACUCAACUGAACAAGUAUCUGCCGAGGGCCUACUGUGUGCUAGGCACGGACCAGGGCCUGGAUCUGGAGGGGGAAUGAGACCUAGGCCUUAGACCACUCUCACCAGGAGUUCAGCACAUAGUAGGUCCUUCACAAAUACCCAAGAGAUACUCAUCUAGAGGGCCUGUUACUCAAGCCUGGUGGGGGUGGACAGAAAAGAGCAAUGCUAUUCACUUCCUUUAUAGUCAUUAGGAAUUGUUUAAAUUGUAACAUGGCAAAUGACAGAUUCUUGACUAUUUUCCAUCGAAGAGGCCUAAAUGGCUAUUCCAGGUGAGCUUUCUCCCUUAGUUUGCCACAUCGAUGACUAAGCGUAUCUAGAUCUUGGAUUUCUAUCUUCAUAGCUGUGUGACCACAGACAAGUGGCUUAACUUCUCUGAUUCUGUGUCUGCCUCUGCAAAAUAAGAAUGAUCAUCAUUCCUACCUCAUGGGGCUGUUGUGAGGUUGAAAUGCAGUGACACUUGGGAAAUACUUAUUAUAGUAAGUGCUUAAUAAACUUCAGCGAUCAUUCAUCAUCAUCAUCAUCAUCAUCAUCAGAGUGACAGCCAAGUGGCAUAUGCAGCAGGAAGGGAAAAUGAAGCUCUAUAAAGCAAUAGCCACAGAGCGGCUCCAGGGGCCAACUGGAGCCAUGGGGAGCCCUGAGGGUGGCCCAGAGCUCUAGGAUCGCAGUUCUGGUCCCCUGAGCCACCCCUGCAGCUCCUCUGUGCCGCUUCCCUACCCCUCCAGCAGUGACUCUCCCCAGGCUACAGUGGGGGCUGUGGACUGUGCCUGAUCCACCCGCCUCCCUGGGGUCUCACACGGCCCGGCACAGAGCAGCCACUCAGCAAAUGCUCGCAGAGUGAACCAAUGAGCUGCGGCUAAACCGGACCCAGUGCCAAGAAACAGCCGGGGCCGCAGGGGACCAGGAUCAAGCAAGUUAAGACAAAGCCCAUUUGAACAGAAGGAUCUUAAGAUCCUCCGCUGGGCACACGACCUUCUCCAGGGAAGGAAAGUUAGAUGAGGGUCCAGAGCGAAACAGUCUGCAAUCUGUUUUGUUGUAAGUGACAGAAACCCAUCAUAAACAAAACUGAAACGGGACUUGUUGGUUUCAGGGCUGGAGCUGGCCUCAGGGGCUGCAGACAUUCAAAUCAUCGCUGGAUCUCUCCUCUCCUCUCCUCUCCUCCCCUCUCCUCUCCUUCUCCUCCUUUCCCUCCUCCUCUCUCUCUCUCUCCUUCCCUCCCCUCCCCUCUCCACUCUGCACACCGCCCUCAGUUUUUCCUACAGCACCAGACUUCUUCCAUUCAGUAGGGGGAGCAGCAGCUGCAGGGGCAGGAAGAGAGGGGCCUUGGCCACAGACAGCUCUAAGCUUUCCUUGUCCCAGUCCAGGGACUGAAAAGGAGCUUUUGUCAUCUCAGCCUGGCGUCUGUCUGUAAAAUCCCCGAGAAGGACUCUGAUUGGCCCUGCUUGAGUCACAUGUCCUCUUGCCAGACCAAUCACCACAGCCAGGAGAAUGGCGUCUGGGGAUUGCCAGGCUGGCUGGGGUUGCGGCAGUGAAACAGCUGGUACCCCAGAACCAAGCACGGAAGGGGAUGGUCCGCGAAAGAUCUCGGGAGCACGGUCUUCCUCCUGUCUCUCAUGCAAUCUCAGCCCCGAACUCCUUGACGCCCCUGGCCAAACCUGAUGAGAAUAUCAGAGAACCUUGUCCAAGGGGCAGUGGGGAUGCAGGGGUCCCAUGCUGUGCCCAAAGCCGGAAGUCUACGUGUUGGACUGGACAGAGCUACUGAAACAUGCUAAGGCCCUCCCACCGAACUUGGAACAAAGUCCGCACCCCCCACCGUGACCUGCAAGGCCUGCUGGGCCCAGCCCCCAUGGGGCCUUCUCCUGCGCUGUCGCCAGGGACCGCCUGCUCGCAUGGCUCAGGUCCCUGCUCAGAUGCUACCUUCCCUGACCACCCUGUUAAGGGGACCCCCUGACCCCACACCAGCCUCUCUAUGUUUAUAUAGACUUGUCCCUGUCUGAAAAUCUCCUGGUUUACUUAUUUACUGGACUGGAAGCUUCCUGAGGCUGAAACUAGGCCAGUCUUGUCUCUGCUGGGUCCCAGAGCCCAGCCCAAGGCCCAGCACAGAGACAAGACUCAUGAAUGUUUGUUGGUUGAAUGAAUGAACGGCCGUUCUAAGUCAUCCUGCCUUAGGCCUCAACAGAUGGCAGACGGGAGGAGUCUGCCUGGUGCCACCUGGUGAGUGAAUGAGUGGAUGUUGUCAUCUUACAUAAAGGAUGCGGAAAUCAGCUUCCUCCUCCCUUCCUACCCAGUUAUCCAGUUGCCCUUCAAAACCCUCAGUCUGACCCUCCGUCCACAGAACCCGGGGCAGCCGGUCCUCCUCGAGCAGCAAAGGCCCUUCGCAUGGCCAGUACAGCUAAAUAAACUGUCUGUGGAAUAAUUGAUAAUUACUGCACUUGAGUUCCCAUUCAAGUUCAAUGUUUGUGACUAAAAGCUAUGUCCAAGCCCUUCAGAGGGGACACCUCCGUUCUCAGAGCAUCUGCAUUUCUAACCAGGCUCCUCCUCGAGCACGGAGCCCUCACUGCAGGAGCACAGAGUGAAAAGCCGCGGGCCCCUCUGCUUUCAAUUCUAACAGCCACCGGAAGUGGGAUCCUGGGCACCCAGCACCUUGAAUUACCAAGACUGGUGAGCCUCAGCCACACUUGGAAGGCAAAGUUGGUUCUGCUCUCUUGCAUUCCAACUGACUUUUCUUUUCAUCAGGGGUCAGACCUUCCUCCGAGCUGGCGCAAGAGAAGCUGGAGAGGAAGGGGAGAGAGGAGGAGCAGGAGGAAACACGCUGGGCCGGCUGCGGGCGCAGCAGGAGCCAUCCUCGAUCACCAGGCCGAAGGAGCACCGGCUCCCGAGGGAGGCUCCCGGGGUGCGGUGGAGGCGCUCGGCUUCUCUCUUCAACAAGACCUGGAGAAUGUUAAUUGUUACUGUAGGUGUGUGGCGUGCAGACUAUUUGUAAGUGAGAGAAGAGUUCUGUUGCUGUGACUAAAGAGAGCGCAAUGGGUGUGGAAGACUGGAACCCGUGAGUUCCUCAAGCUGAGGCUCGGUUAAACCAUCAAUGCUUUCCUGCCAAUUGGCGCUUGCAGCUCGAGCCUUCACGCCUUUGCACACAGUCGAGGUAAUAACCACCGUGCUGCGAAAAGGCAGCCGGCUGGCAGGGGCCGCUCGCUGCACAGAGCGUUCUUUGGUUCAAAAAAGAAAAAAAAUCAUAAAAUUAAAAAAAACUGUUUAAGCUUAAAAACUAAAAGGAAGCAGUUGGCUCCAGUUGUCGAAAUGUUUUAUAAAGCAACAGCAAGAUGAAAAAAAAUUAAGAAUAAAAAAUAAACUGUCCCAGAAUGCUGAGAGAGGGCCAAAAAUAUUAAUAUGCGGGAACAUGGCAAAGCUUCUGCAAGCUGUAAAUAUUCCCUUCGGUUCCCAUGUAUGAUCGGCAAGGAUGGUGGUCCUUUUCUCCCUCGGCUCUUCCUGUUUGAAAUCUACGACAAAUAACAUUUCUUCAAAAAAUAAAAUAAGUAUUAGGGGAAGAAAGUGUGUGUGUCAGAGGUCCCUGAAUUUCUUAUUUUAAAUAUUAUAGGGAGGGGCCUGCCCG
Molecule: long non-coding RNA, 5378 nt
Filed under: Equus caballus (horse)
Lineage: Eukaryota; Metazoa; Chordata; Mammalia; Perissodactyla; Equidae
Description: lncRNA (ENSECAG00000053132.1)
Source: RNAcentral